UGAGUUUAUCUCCAUGCUUUAUUUAAUGGCUUAGUAAGAACAGCUUGCCCUAGGCGAACACUAACGCCCCGGAAAGACAGCACGGUGCCUAAGAAGAACUGAAACUCAAUAUUGUCUACAAAUAACGAAUUUUAAAAGUUGGACUUGAAUGUUGAAAAUGGGUUUAUAAAGGGAUGUUAUUUUAAAAGCACAUCAACGCUGGUUUUUGUUUGAUUUGGGGUUUUUGAUUGGUUUGGGUUUUGAGACAGAGUCUCACACAACCCAAGUUGGCUCAAAAACUCCUGCCCCUCUGGAACCACAGACACACAGUGUCGCUUGCUGUUAUCCAAUAGCUCGGUGAAUUUCAAACUUUCACCCUAAAGAAUUGCUCUUCCUACUCGAUCAUUCAACUGCUACAUCCUGAGCCUCCAUUACAUUCCAGAGACGGGCACAGUAUGAACAGUAGACAAAGUUCCAUCCUCGAGAUGACAUGUUCUGGGAGCGAGCAAGACAGAGAGAGGUCAGACGACCUCAUGGGAUACCCUGGAACUGCAGUUACAGGCGGUUGUGAGCCAGCAUGUGCGUGCUGGAAACCGAACUUGGAUCCCCUGAAAGAGCGACUGGCAACAAGCCAGUUCCUAUUCAUCAGCCUUGCCCCACCUGCCGCUUGACUCCCUGCUUCAGAGGCGACUUCACAGCGCUGCAGUGAUCCACAGAGCCCGGAAUCGCGCCUCUCAUCACCUGCUCAGAGGAGGUGCCAAUGACGUGGGUGUUCGUGCGCGAAAUCCAGCGAGAUCUUCCCCUUUUCGACUGGUAAAAACUCCCAAGACAUCAUUAUAGAGAGAAAAGUACGAAGCCUGCGCUCUCUGCCCUUCCCGGCUUCAGAUGCUGUGAAACUGCUUUGGAUAAACAACUGGUCCAAUAGUUCUUUAGCAAUCUCCUGGUCGCUUAGGUCGCUUUACUUUCGGCAAAGACCCCACCGCCAGCGAAACUGCAACUUUUGAGCAGGCAGUGCCCUCUAGUGCCUGUACUUAAAUAACAACUUAAACGCUGCCCCUCUUAUCAAAUAUUAAAGCAAAAGCAGAGUCUGCCAAAAAUCAAA
Myodes glareolus (Bank vole) is the source of this 1081-nucleotide long non-coding RNA. RefSeq lists it as uncharacterized. Lineage: Eukaryota; Metazoa; Chordata; Mammalia; Rodentia; Cricetidae. The record is from RefSeq and is a predicted model, not a curated record.